AAUGCUGACAUAAGUAACGAUAAAGCGGGUGAAAAGCCCGCUCGCCGGAAGACCAAGGGUUCCUGUCCAACGUUAAUCGGGGCAGGGUGAGUCGACCCCUAAGGCGAGGCCGAAAGGCGUAGUCGAUGGGAAACGGGUUAAUAUUCCCGUACUUGGUGUUACUGCGAAGGGGGGACGGAGAAGGCUAUGUUGGCCGGGCGACGGUUGUCCCGGUUUAAGCGUGUAGGUGUGUGUUCCAGGUAAAUCCGGUUCACUUUAACACUGAGGCGUGACGACGAGGCACUACGG
RNAcentral lists this ribosomal RNA (288 nucleotides) under Salmonella enterica subsp. enterica serovar Saintpaul. RNAcentral's name for it is "partial 23S ribosomal RNA". It matches the Rfam family "Bacterial large subunit ribosomal RNA", at positions 1293 to 1582 of the family's 2925-position model. The record is from RNAcentral. Lineage: Bacteria; Pseudomonadati; Pseudomonadota; Gammaproteobacteria; Enterobacterales; Enterobacteriaceae.